AUUAGCUAGUUGGUGAGGUAAAGGCUCACCAAGGCAACGAUCCGUAGCUGGUCUGAGAGGAUGAUCAGCCACAUCGGGACUGAGACACGGCCCGAACUCCUACGGGAGGCAGCAGUGGGGAAUAUUGGACAAUGGGGGCAACCCUGAUCCAGCCAUGCCGCGUGUGUGAAGAAGGCCCUCGGGUUGUAAAGCACUUUCAGCGAGGAAGAACGCCUAGCGGUUAAUACCCGCUAGGAAAGACAUCACUCGCAGAAGAAGCACCGGCUAACUCCGUGCCAGCAGCCGCGGUAAUACGGAGGGUGCAAGCGUUAAUCGGAAUUACUGGGCGUAAAGCGCGCGUAGGUGGCUUGAUAAGCCGGUUGUGAAAGCCCCGGGCUCAACCUGGGAACGGCAUCCGGAACUGUCAAGCUAGAGUGCAGGAGAGGAAGGUAGAAUUCCCGGUGUAGCGGUGAAAUGCGUAGAGAUCGGGAGGAAUACCAGUGGCGAAGGCGGCCUUCUGGACUGACACUGACACUGAGGUGCGAAAGCGUGGGUAGCAAACAGGAUUAGAUACCCUGGUAGUCCACGCCGUAAACGAUGUCGACCAGCCGUUGGGUGCCUAGCGCACUUUGUGGCGAAGUUAACGCGAUAAGUCGACCGCCUGGGGAGUACGGCCGCAAGGUUAAAACUCAAAUGAAUUGACGGGGGCCCGCACAAGCGGUGGAGCAUGUGGUUUAAUUCGAUGCAACGCGAAGAACCUUACCUACUCUUGACAUCCUGCGAAUUCGGUAGAGAUACCUUAGUGCCUUCGGGAACGCAGAGACAGGUGCUGCAUGGCUGUCGUCAGCUCGUGUUGUGAAAUGUUGGGUUAAGUCCCGUAACGAGCGCAACCCUUGUCCUUAUUUGCCAGCGCGUAAUGGCGGGAACUCUAAGGAGACUGCCGGUGACAAACCGGAGGAAGGUGGGGACGACGUCAAGUCAUCAUGGCCCUUACGAGUAGGGCUACACACGUGCUACAAUGGUCGGUACAAAGGGUUGCGAGCUCGCGAGAGUCAGCCAAUCCCGAAAAGCCGAUCUCAGUCCGGAUCGGAGUCUGCAACUCGACUCCGUGAAGUCGGAAUCGCUAGUAAUCGUAGAUCAGAAUGCUACGGUGAAUACGUUCCCGGGCCUUGUACACACCGCCCGU
Molecule: ribosomal RNA, 1165 nt
Filed under: Halomonas sp. SL013A-18A
Lineage: Bacteria; Pseudomonadati; Pseudomonadota; Gammaproteobacteria; Oceanospirillales; Halomonadaceae
Description: bacterial SSU rRNA
Rfam family: Bacterial small subunit ribosomal RNA
Source: RNAcentral